GCGGCCUAUCAGCUUGUUGGUGAGGUAAUGGCUCACCAAGGCGACGACGGGUAGCCGGCCUGAGAGGGCGACCGGCCACACAGGGACUGAGACACGGCCCAGACUCCUACGGGAGGCAGCAGUGGGGAAUAUUGGGCAAUGGACGAAAGUCUGACCCAGCGACGCCGCGUGCGGGAUGAAGGCCUUCGGGUUGUAAACCGCUUUCAGCAGGGAAUAAGCGAAAGUGACGGUACCUACAAAAGAAGCACCGGCUAACUAUGUGCCAGCAGCCGCGGUAAUACAUAGGGUGCAAGCGUUGUCCGGAAUUAUUGGGCGUAAAGAGCUCGUAGGUCGUUUGUUACGUCGGAUGUGAAAACCUGGGGCUUAACCCCAGACCUGCAUUCGAUACGGGCGAGCUAGAGUGUGGUAGGGGAGACUGGAAUUCCU
RNAcentral lists this ribosomal RNA (426 nucleotides) under uncultured Actinomycetes bacterium. Its description in RNAcentral is "bacterial SSU rRNA". It matches the Rfam family "Bacterial small subunit ribosomal RNA", at positions 233 to 671 of the family's 1533-position model. The record is from RNAcentral. Lineage: Bacteria; Bacillati; Actinomycetota; Actinomycetes.